This 64-nucleotide small nuclear RNA is filed under the name Choloepus hoffmanni (Hoffmann's two-fingered sloth). RNAcentral describes it as "U7 small nuclear RNA (ENSCHOG00000014480.1)". It matches the Rfam family "U7 small nuclear RNA". Rfam says of the family: Animal histone pre-mRNAs are spliced by a different mechanism than nuclear pre-mRNAs and self-splicing introns. This processing involves the U7 snRNP, which contains only one RNA species: U7. The record is from RNAcentral. Lineage: Eukaryota; Metazoa; Chordata; Mammalia; Pilosa; Megalonychidae.
AAGCGUUAAUAGCUCUUUUAGAAUUUGUCUAGCAGGUUUUCUGGCUUUUAGCCAGAAAUUUUUU